RNAcentral lists this ribosomal RNA (1003 nucleotides) under uncultured bacterium. RNAcentral's name for it is "bacterial SSU rRNA". It matches the Rfam family "Bacterial small subunit ribosomal RNA", at positions 353 to 1371 of the family's 1533-position model. The record is from RNAcentral.
AGUGAGGAAUAUUGCACAAUGGGGGGAACCCUGAUGCAGCAACGCCGCGUGGAGGAUGACGCAUUUCGGUGUGUAAACUCCUUUUAUAUGUCAAGAAAAUGACGGUAGCAUAUGAAUAAGCACCGGCUAACUCCGUGCCAGCAGCCGCGGUAAUACGGAGGGUGCAAGCGUUACUCGGAAUCACUGGGCGUAAAGGACGCGUAGGCGGGUUAGUAAGUCAGAUGUGAAAUCCUACAGCUUAACUGUAGAACUGCAUUUGAAACUACUAACCUAGAGUAUGGGAGGGGGAGAUGGAAUUAGUGGUGUAGGGGUAAAAUCCGUAGAUAUCACUAGGAAUACCGAAAGCGAAGGCGAUCUCCUGGAACAUUACUGACGCUAAGGCGUGAAAGCGUGGGGAGCAAACGGGAUUAGAUACCCCGGUAGUCCACGCCCUAAACGAUGUUCACUAGUCGUCGGGAUGCUAGUCAUCUCGGUGAUGCACUUAACAGAUUAAGUGAACCGCCUGGGGAGUACGGUCGCAAGAUUAAAACUCAAAGGAAUAGACGGGGACCCGCACAAGUGGUGGAGCAUGUGGUUUAAUUCGAAGAUACGCGAAGAACCUUACCUAGCCUUGACAUUGAUAGAAUACACCAGAGAUGGAGUAGUGCCUUUCGGGGAACUUGAAAACAGGUGCUGCACGGCUGUCGUCAGCUCGUGUCGUGAGAUGUUGGGUUAAGUCCCGCAACGAGCGCAACCCUCGUCCUUAGUUGCCAGCAGGUUAAGCUGGGCACUCUAAGGAGACUGCCUUCGUAAGGAGGAGGAAGGUGAGGACGACGUCAAGUCAUCAUGGCCCUUAUGGCUAGGGCUACACACGUGCUACAAUGGGGCGUACAGAGUGUUGCGAUACCGCGAGGUGGAGCUAAUCACUUAAAGCGUCUCUCAGUUCGGAUAGCAGUCUGCAACUCGACUGCUUGAAGCUGGAAUCACUAGUAAUCGUAGAUCAGCAAUGCUACGGUGAAUACGU